RNAcentral lists this ribosomal RNA (484 nucleotides) under uncultured bacterium. RNAcentral describes it as "partial 16S ribosomal RNA". It matches the Rfam family "Bacterial small subunit ribosomal RNA", at positions 30 to 507 of the family's 1533-position model. The record is from RNAcentral.
AUUGAACGCUGGCGGCAGGCCUAACACAUGCAAGUCGAGCGGAUGAAGGGAGCUUGCUCCUGGAUUCAGCGGCGGACGGGUGAGUAAUGCCUAGGAAUCUGCCUGGUAGUGGGGGAUAACGUCCGGAAACGGGCGCUAAUACCGCAUACGUCCUGAGGGAGAAAGUGGGGGAUCUUCGGACCUCACGCUAUCAGAUGAGCCUAGGUCGGAUUAGCUAGUUGGUGGGGCAAAGGCCUACCAAGGCGACGAUCCGUAACUGGUCUGAGAGGAUGAUCAGCCACACUGGAACUGAGACACGGUCCAGACUCCUACGGGAGGCAGCAGUGGGGAAUAUUGGACAAUGGGCGAAAGCCUGAUCCAGCCAUGCCGCGUGUGUGAAGAAGGUCUUCGGAUUGUAAAGCACUUUAAGUUGGGAGGAAGGGCAGUAAGUUAAUACCUUGCUGUUUUGACGUUACCAACAGAAUAAGCACCGGCUAACUUCGUG